GAUGAACGCUGGCGGCGUGCUUAACACAUGCAAGUCGAACGGAAAGGCCCAAGCUUGCUUGGGUACUCGAGUGGCGAACGGGUGAGUAACACGUGGGUGAUCUGCCCUGCACUUCGGGAUAAGCCUGGGAAACUGGGUCUAAUACUGGAUAGGACCACUUCUUGGAUGUUGUGGUGGAAAGUUUUUUCGGUGUGGGAUGAGCUCGCGGCCUAUCAGCUUGUUGGUGGGGUAAUGGCCUACCAAGGCGUCGACGGGUAGCCGGCCUGAGAGGGUGUACGGCCACAUUGGGACUGAGAUACGGCCCAGACUCCUACGGGAGGCAGCAGUGGGGAAUAUUGCACAAUGGGCGCAAGCCUGAUGCAGCGACGCCGCGUGGGGGAUGACGGCCUUCGGGUUGUAAACGCCUUUCGCUAGGGACGAAGCGUUUUGUGACGGUACCUGGAGAAGAAGCACCGGCUAACUACGUG
RNAcentral lists this ribosomal RNA (467 nucleotides) under uncultured bacterium. RNAcentral's name for it is "partial 16S ribosomal RNA". It matches the Rfam family "Bacterial small subunit ribosomal RNA", at positions 28 to 507 of the family's 1533-position model. The record is from RNAcentral.